GCCGAAUUAGCUCAGUGGUAGAGCAACCGCCUUGUAAGCGGUAGGUCAUCUGUUCAAAUUACGAUGUGACA
RNAcentral lists this transfer RNA (71 nucleotides) under Candidatus Fokinia solitaria. It matches the Rfam family "tRNA". Rfam says of the family: Transfer RNA (tRNA) molecules are approximately 80 nucleotides in length. Their secondary structure includes four short double-helical elements and three loops (D, anti-codon, and T loops). The record is from Rfam by way of RNAcentral. Lineage: Bacteria; Pseudomonadati; Pseudomonadota; Alphaproteobacteria; Rickettsiales; Candidatus Midichloriaceae.